GGGGUUGUGGCUCAGUGGUAGAGUGCUUGCCUAGCAUGUAUGAGGCACUGGGUUCGAUCCUCAGCACCA
Molecule: transfer RNA, 69 nt
Filed under: Marmota marmota marmota (Alpine marmot)
Lineage: Eukaryota; Metazoa; Chordata; Mammalia; Rodentia; Sciuridae
Also listed under: 4 other names
Rfam family: tRNA
About the family: Transfer RNA (tRNA) molecules are approximately 80 nucleotides in length. Their secondary structure includes four short double-helical elements and three loops (D, anti-codon, and T loops). Further hydrogen bonds mediate the characteristic L-shaped molecular structure. tRNAs have two regions of fundamental functional importance: the anti-codon, which is responsible for specific mRNA codon recognition, and the 3' end, to which the tRNAs corresponding amino acid is attached (by aminoacyl-tRNA synthetases). tRNAs cope with the degeneracy of the genetic code in two manners: having more than one tRNA (with a specific anti-codon) for a particular amino acid; and 'wobble' base-pairing, i.e. permitting non-standard base-pairing at the 3rd anti-codon position.
Source: Rfam by way of RNAcentral